This 299-nucleotide signal recognition particle RNA is filed under the name Vombatus ursinus (common wombat). RNAcentral describes it as "Metazoan signal recognition particle RNA (ENSVURG00010013989.1)". It matches the Rfam family "Metazoan signal recognition particle RNA". From Rfam's summary of the family: The signal recognition particle (SRP) is a universally conserved ribonucleoprotein. It is involved in the co-translational targeting of proteins to membranes. Lineage: Eukaryota; Metazoa; Chordata; Mammalia; Diprotodontia; Vombatidae. The record is from Rfam by way of RNAcentral.
GUCAGGCAUGAUAGCGCAUGCCAAUAAUCCCUGCUACCAGGGAUGCUGAGGCUGGAGGAUUUCUUGAGCUCAGGAGUUCUGAGAUGCAGUGAGCUAUACCAAUUAGGUGUCAGCAUUAAGUUCGGCAUCUAUGUAGUGAGCCACCAGGAGUGGGGGCCACCAGAUCGCCUAGGGAGGAGCAAGUCAGCCUAGAUCAGAAAGAGAAUUGGCCAAAGGUCCUGUGCUAUUAGUAGUGGGAUCGGACCCAUGAGCAAUCCCAGCACUUCCAGUCUGGGCAAGAUGGGGAGACCCAGUCUUUC